Molecule: long non-coding RNA, 1101 nt
Filed under: Homo sapiens (human)
Lineage: Eukaryota; Metazoa; Chordata; Mammalia; Primates; Hominidae
Description: non-protein coding lnc-USH2A-6:2
Source: RNAcentral
AAUUUUACUGCAAUUUCCUUUGAACUUUCUUGCCACUGUUUGGAAUCUUAAAAAUUCAUUAGCCUUCUCCUUUCUGACAUAAAGCUACUCUUCAUCAGAGAUGAGUUCCUAUGUAUGUCCUUUGUUCCUUCAAUAGCUAAUUAAUGUGCUUGAGGAUACUUCAGUGGAAAAAAAGGUUUAAAUAUGCAAAUUACUAAUAAAUGUGUAACCUUAUGUAACUUGUGUUACAUCAAGUAACAAGCUAAUCUAGUUUGUUUCACUGGACUAGGCUUGUGCUCCCUACUUCAGUAUUUUGAUGCUUUCCUUGAUCUUUGUUUCACAAAAUGUUGUGAAUUUUGGUAUCAUUCAAAACAAAUGACAUUUAUUAGGUUUCAUUUUGAAACGAUGUACAGACAAGUCCCCAACUUAGAAACCGGUUUGUUCUUAAGGUUCUUGCGUCAGCCCAUAGAAGCCCACUGACCUCCACCACAGCCCAAAUGGAGGGCUGUGAUAGCCAGAUCUGGUUGGCUUUUGUGGGCUGACCCAGACAUUUAAUCACCAUCUCUUAUGUUGUUGCCGUAAGAAAUGCAUUCCAGGUUGGGACUUGGGAUCCUGAGAGCACAUUCGCCCCCUGUGGUGGCCGCUUGCCACCUUGCAAGAUGGAAGCCCAGUCUCCUUACUACCAAACUGUAGUUGUAAGCAGAGGGAGGGGUGAGAUGUUUAUAGGACAUUCCCUAAGCUGGGGAGUGAUUUUUAUCACUAUUCAUGUCAACUGUACUUUGGUAUAGACUCCCUAUCAAUUUAAUAAUAUGAAAAGCCUAAAAUAAAACUAUGCAUGCUAUUCUAUGUGCUAUUUUAUAUCAGUAAAUAAGCUUAUGCUUGCCAGUUGUAUACACAGUUAUGAGGUGUAUAGAACUGACUUUGACAGUAUUUUUUGCACUGUUUCCUAUCUGUUUUUAUAAAGUCUUAUUUAGAUAUUGGACCUUGUUGAUGUUCUCACUGCCCUUGUGCUUGCUAUAAAAUGUUUCAUAUGUGCCUUUACAAAUGUGAGAUCUUUAUUCUAACCUUUUUUUGUAAAAGAUAUCUAUUGAUUUCCAUAUGCAAUAAACCUUUUUUUCAGAG